GAUGUCUACCAGGAAAGCAUCAGGUGAAAAGAAAAGGGCUUCAGCGCAACAGAGGCUGGCAAAGCAUAGGGCAACAGUUUACAGCGAUCCAAUGUUGCAUGAGGAACACAAAAGGAAAGAGAGAGAAAGGUAUCAAAAACGUAAGGAAGCUGGUAAACUUAAAACUACUAAAGAUCUGACAAGCAAACAGCUCGAAAGAAGAAAGCAACAAUGGCGGAAGAACUCACAAAAUUAUUACAAAAGAAAAAAGCAGCAGCAAGUAC
Molecule: long non-coding RNA, 263 nt
Organism: Cyprinodon tularosa
Lineage: Eukaryota; Metazoa; Chordata; Actinopteri; Cyprinodontiformes; Cyprinodontidae
Exons: 3
Source: RefSeq, a predicted model, not a curated record